Molecule: transfer RNA, 63 nt
Filed under: Myrmecophilus kubotai
Lineage: Eukaryota; Metazoa; Arthropoda; Insecta; Orthoptera; Myrmecophilidae
Description: tRNA-Arg
Source: RNAcentral
UAAUAGAAAGUAAAACUUACACUCAAUUUCGACUUGACAUAUGGGUUAAUAACCCGCUAUUAG